GACGAACGCUGGCGGCGUGCUUAACGCAUGCAAGUCGAACGGAAAGGCCCUGCUUUUGUGGGGUGCUCGAGUGGCGAACGGGUGAGUAACACGUGAGUAACCUGCCCUUGACUUUGGGAUAACUUCAGGAAACUGGGGCUAAUACCGGAUAGGAGCUCCUGCUGCAUGGUGGGGGUUGGAAAGUUUCGGCGGUUGGGGAUGGACUCGCGGCUUAUCAGCUUGUUGGUGGGGUAGUGGCUUACCAAGGCUUUGACGGGUAGCCGGCCUGAGAGGGUGACCGGCCACAUUGGGACUGAGAUACGGCCCAGACUCCUACGGGAGGCAGCAGUGGGGAAUAUUGCACAAUGGGCGGAAGCCUGAUGCAGCAACGCCGCGUGCGGGAUGGCGGCCUUCGGGUUGUAAACCGCUUUCGCCUGUGACGAAGCGUGAGUGACGGUAAUGGGUAAAGAAGCACCGGCUAACUACGUGCCAGCAGCCGCGGUGAUACGUAGGGUGCGAGCGUUGUCCGGAUUUAUUGGGCGUAAAGGGCUCGUAGGUGGUUGAUCGCGUCGGAAGUGUAAUCUUGGGGCUUAACCCUGAGCGUGCUUUCGAUACGGGUUGACUUGAGGAAGGUAGGGGAGAAUGGAAUUCCUGGUGGAGCGGUGGAAUGCGCAGAUAUCAGGAGGAACACCAGUGGCGAAGGCGGUUCUCUGGGCCUUUCCUGACGCUGAGGAGCGAAAGCGUGGGGAGCGAACAGGCUUAGAUACCCUGGUAGUCCACGCUGUAAACGGUGGGUACUGGGUGUGGGGUCCAUUCCACGGGUUCCGUGCCGUAGCUAACGCUUUAAGUACCCCGCCUGGGGAGUACGGCCGCAAGGCUAAAACUCAAAGGAAUUGACGGGGCCCCGCACAAGCGGCGGAGCAUGCGGAUUAAUUCGAUGCAACGCGUAGAACCUUACCUGGGUUUGACAUGGAUCGGGAGCGCUCAGAGAUGGGUGUGCCUCUUUUGGGGUCGGUUCACAGGUGGUGCAUGGCUGUCGUCAGCUCGUGUCGUGAGAUGUUGGGUUAAGUCCCGCAACGAGCGCAACCCUUGUUCACUGUUGCCAGCACGUUAUGGUGGGGACUCAGUGGAGACCGCCGGGGUCAACUCGGAGGAAGGUGGGGAUGACGUCAAGUCAUCAUGCCCCUUAUGUCCAGGGCUUCACGCAUGCUACAAUGGCUGGUACAGAGAGUGGCGAGCCUGUGAGGGUGAGCGAAUCUCGGAAAGCCGGUCUCAGUUCGGAUUGGGGUCUGCAACUCGACCUCAUGAAGUCGGAGUCGCUAGUAAUCGCAGAUCAGCAACGCUGCGGUGAAUACGUUCCCGGGGCU
RNAcentral lists this ribosomal RNA (1346 nucleotides) under uncultured bacterium. RNAcentral's name for it is "bacterial SSU rRNA". It matches the Rfam family "Bacterial small subunit ribosomal RNA", at positions 28 to 1381 of the family's 1533-position model. The record is from RNAcentral.